GGCCCUGGCCGACCGGUCCGCCUCACGGCGUGAACUGCGUCGGUUGGGCCUUCCUUUCCUGGUGAGCUCCGUAUGCCGUUUACUCGGUGUGCGGAUGUCUGGCCAGGACUUUUACUUUGAAAAAAUUAGAGUGUUCAAAGCAGGCCUAUGCCCGAAUAUAUUAGCAUGGAAUAAUAGAAUAGGACGUCGCGAUCCUAUUUUGUUGGUUUCUAGGACCGCCGUA
Molecule: ribosomal RNA, 223 nt
Filed under: uncultured fungus
Lineage: Eukaryota; Fungi
Description: partial small subunit ribosomal RNA
Rfam family: Eukaryotic small subunit ribosomal RNA (bases 100-223)
Source: RNAcentral